AUGAACGCUGGCGGCGUGCCUAACCCAUGCCAGUCGAACGGAGAUUACGGACGGAAGUUUUCGGAUGGAAGCCUGUAAUUCUUAGUGGCGGACGGGUGAGUAACGCGUGGGCAACCUGCCCUAUACAGGGGGAUAGCAGCUGGAAACGGCUGGUAAGACCGCAUAAGUCGGUUAAAUCGCAUGAUUUGAUCGGGAAAUGAGCAAUCAGGUAUAGGAUGGGCCCGCGUCCGAUUAGCCAGUUGGCAGGGUAAAAGCCUACCAAAGCGACGAUCGGUAGCCGGACUGAGAGGUCGGACGGCCACAUUGGGACUGAGACACGGCCCAAACUCCUACGGGAGGCAGCAGUGGGGGAUAUUGCACAAUGGAGGAAACUCUGAUGCAGCGACGCCGCGUGAGUGAAGAAGUAUUUCGGUAUGUAAAGCUCUAUCAGCAGGGAAGAUGAUGACGGUACCUGACUAAGAAGCCCCGGCUAACUACGUG
This 480-nucleotide ribosomal RNA is filed under the name uncultured bacterium. RNAcentral describes it as "partial 16S ribosomal RNA". It matches the Rfam family "Bacterial small subunit ribosomal RNA", at positions 29 to 507 of the family's 1533-position model. The record is from RNAcentral.